CCCUUAGAUGUUCUGGGCUGCACGCGCGCUACACUGAUGCGUUCAACGAGUUUUUGACCUUGCCUGACACGGUUGGGUAAUCUUGUUAAAACGCAUCGUGAUGGGGAUAGAUUAUUGCAAUUAUUGAUCUUCAACGAGGAAUUCCUAGUAAGCGUGAGUCAUCAGCUCGUGCUGAUUACGUCCCUGCCCUUUGUACACACCGCCCGUCGCUCCUACCGAUUGGAUGGUCCGGUGAGGUUUUCGGAUUGGCGCAACGCAGCGGUUCGCCGCCGCGAUGCGCCGAGAAGUCACCCAAACCUUAUCAUCUAGAGGAAGGAGAAGUCGUAACA
RNAcentral lists this ribosomal RNA (329 nucleotides) under uncultured eukaryote. Its description in RNAcentral is "partial 18S ribosomal RNA". It matches the Rfam family "Eukaryotic small subunit ribosomal RNA", at positions 1470 to 1796 of the family's 1831-position model. The record is from RNAcentral.